This 450-nucleotide ribosomal RNA is filed under the name uncultured bacterium. RNAcentral describes it as "partial 16S ribosomal RNA". It matches the Rfam family "Bacterial small subunit ribosomal RNA", at positions 354 to 796 of the family's 1533-position model. The record is from RNAcentral.
GUGGGGAAUUUUGGACAAUGGGCGCAAGCCUGAUCCAGCCAUUCCGCGUGCAGGAUGAAGGCCUUCGGGUUGUAAACUGCUUUUGUACGGAACGAAAAGCCUCUGGUUAAUACCCGGGGGUCAUGACGGUACCGUAAGAAUAAGCACCGGCUAACUACGUGCCAGCAGCCGCGGUAAUACGUAGGGUGCGAGCGUUAAUCGGAAUUACUGGGCGUAAAGCGUGCGCAGGCGGUGAUGUAAGACAGUUGUGAAAUCCCCGGGCUCAACCUGGGAACUGCAUCUGUGACUGCAUUGCUGGAGUGCGACAGAGGGGGAUGGAAUUCCGCGUGUAGCAGUGAAAUGCGUAGAUAUGCGGAGGAACACCGAUGGCGAAGGCAAUCCCCUGGGCCUGCACUGACGCUCAUGCACGAAAGCGUGGGGAGCAAACAGGAUUAGAAACCCUUGUAGUCC